This 75-nucleotide transfer RNA is filed under the name Thermoanaerobaculia bacterium. RNAcentral describes it as "tRNA-His". It matches the Rfam family "tRNA". Rfam says of the family: Transfer RNA (tRNA) molecules are approximately 80 nucleotides in length. The record is from RNAcentral. Lineage: Bacteria; Pseudomonadati; Acidobacteriota; Thermoanaerobaculia.
GUGAGCGUAGCUCAAUGGUAGAGCCCCGGAUUGUGGUUCCGGCUGUUGCGGGUUCGAGUCCCGUCGCUCACCCCA